GGCUUAAUUUGACUCAACACGGGGAAACUCACCAGGUCCAGACACAAUAAGGAUUGACAGAUUGAGAGCCUUUUAUGAAUGCUAUGGGCUCAAACGAGGCGCUAAUCUUGAAGACUUCAGCUUCAC
This 126-nucleotide non-coding RNA is filed under the name Trichoderma virens Gv29-8. Lineage: Eukaryota; Fungi; Ascomycota; Sordariomycetes; Hypocreales; Hypocreaceae. The record is from Rfam by way of RNAcentral.